Molecule: ribosomal RNA, 504 nt
Filed under: uncultured bacterium
Lineage: Bacteria
Description: partial 16S ribosomal RNA
Rfam family: Bacterial small subunit ribosomal RNA
Source: RNAcentral
AUUGAACGCUGGCGGCAUGCCUUACACAUGCAAGUCGAACGGCAGCAUGGAGAGCUUGCUCUCUGAUGGCGAGUGGCGAACGGGUGAGUAAUGCAUCGGAACGUACCAUGUAAUGGGGGAUAACGUAGCGAAAGUUACGCUAAUACCGCAUACGACCUGAGGGUGAAAGCAGGGGAUCGCAAGACCUUGCGUUAUACGAGCGGCCGAUGUCAGAUUAGAUGGUUGGUGAGGUAAAGGCUCACCAAGGCGACGAUCUGUUGCGGGUAGGAGAGGAUGAUCCGCCAAACUGGGACUGAGACACGGCCCAGACUCCUACAGGAGGCAGCAGUGGGGAAUUUUGGACAAUGGGGGCAACCCUGAUCCAGCCAUGCCGCGUGAGUGAAGAAGGCCUUCGGGUUGUAAAGCUCUUUCGGCCGGGAAGAAAUCGCACAGGCUAAUACUCUGUGUGGAUGACGGUACCGGCAUAAGAAGCACCGGCUAACUACGUGCCAGCCGCCGCGGUAA